This 653-nucleotide long non-coding RNA is filed under the name Zonotrichia albicollis (white-throated sparrow). Its description in RNAcentral is "lncRNA (ENSZALG00000003180.1)". The record is from RNAcentral. Lineage: Eukaryota; Metazoa; Chordata; Aves; Passeriformes; Passerellidae.
CCUGGAUCCCUCAGCUCCAGCUCCUGUGUCCUCCAAAUCCAAAUUCAAAUCCAAAUCCAAAUCCAGUCCUUGGGUCCCCACAUCCAACCCCUGUGUCCUUCAAAUCCAAACCCUUGGUCCUCCAAAUCCAAAUCCAAAUCCAAUUCCUGUGUCCUCUAAAUCCAAAUCCAAAUUCAAAUCCAAUUCCUGUGUCCUCCAAAUCCAAAUCCAUCCCUGUGUCCCCCAGCCCCUCCAAGCCCUGGCUCUCUCAGCCCCUCAGCAAUGAAAUCCCCCCAGAGCAGAGCCCGAAGCCCCCCGGACCAUUCCCAAGGGUUCUCCUGGCCCAGGGCAGUGAGCAGAGGGAGAGCAGGGUGGGAGUGGGCCCAGAGACCCCUCCUGAGGGGAAUUUCGGGAACCGUUUCCUUCACUUCUUCCUGCGGAUUUUGGGUUUCUUGACGGGCCUCAGGUAGGGGUUGUCGAUGACGUUCUCGUCGCCGUUCCUGCUGCCCGCCAGGGAGCUGCUCUGCUGCAGCACCGAGCUGUUCUCCUUCUCGGCCCCCGCCUCGUCCUGCCACGGAAAAAACACCACAAAAACCACCGAGUCAGCUGUUGGGGAUUGUCACAGACAUUUUUUCAUAGAAAUCCUUUCUUUCACAUUUUGUCCAUCUCCUGGG